This 497-nucleotide ribosomal RNA is filed under the name uncultured bacterium. RNAcentral describes it as "partial 16S ribosomal RNA". It matches the Rfam family "Bacterial small subunit ribosomal RNA", at positions 28 to 507 of the family's 1533-position model. The record is from RNAcentral.
GAUGAACGCUGGCGGCGUGCCUAAUACAUGCAAGUCGAGCGAACAGACGAGGAGCUUGCUCCUCUGACGUUAGCGGCGGACGGGUGAGUAACACGUGGAUAACCUACCUAUAAGACUGGGAUAACUUCGGGAAACCGGAGCUAACACCGGAUAAUAUAUUGAACCGUAUGGUUCAAUAGUGAAAGACGGUUUUGCUGUCACUUAUAGACGGUUCCGCGCCGCAUUAGCUAGUUGGUAAGGUAACGGCUUACCAAGGCAACGAUGCGUAGCCGACCUGAGAGGGUGAUCGGCCACACGGGAACUGAGACACGGUCCAGACUCCUACGAGAGGCAGCAGUAGGGAAUCUUCCGCAAUGGGCGAAAGCCUGACGGAGCAACGCCGCGUGAGUGAUGAAGGUCUUCGGAUCGUAAAACUCUGUUAUUAGGGAAGAACAAAUGUGUAAGUAACUAUGCACGUCUUGACGGUACCUAAUCAGAAAGCCACGGCUAACUACGUG